Molecule: non-coding RNA, 2513 nt
Organism: Momordica charantia (bitter melon)
Lineage: Eukaryota; Viridiplantae; Streptophyta; Magnoliopsida; Cucurbitales; Cucurbitaceae
Source: RefSeq, a predicted model, not a curated record
CCUGUGGAUCUUGAAAUCUCCGAACCGGAGUAGUAAGAAUUCUGCGCGCUACGGCCGACCAGAUAACUUCCGUUUUCAAUUCCACCAUUAAAGUAGAUUACUACGUUUCUUCUACUUCCGAAACCCUAGCCCGUAUUCUCAGCUGUAUAACAGAGCGAUGAAUCCUUAUGACCACAGAUACGCUGAUCCCAAUUCCUACCGUGAGCGCCGAAGUGACCUAAUAUGUCCACAGCCUCCGGCGCCGUCGCUAUUAGCAGGGCGCGAACCCUUGUAUAAAGGGUAUCCGCCUCCUCCAGUUUCCUACUAUGGCCGGGAAAGAGGUGGGGGAGGUGUUGGUGGAGGUUUACCUAGUGCUGGAGGUCUCAAUGGCUUCCCACGGUUUCAGCCUCCUGCAGGACCGUUUAAUAUCGGCCGUGGCGGCGGCGCUUUGGAGAGUAGGAGAAUGUUUGAUUCGGGGAGGGGUGGCAAUAGAACUGGUGGGAAUAUUGGGUUUGGAGGUGGACGGGGUGGAGGAACGGGAUUUGAGGGCCGUGGUGGCGGAAGAGGGGCUGGACGUGGUGGUUCUUCGAGAGGGGAAUUAGGUAGCAUAGUUCUUCCGAAUCAGAAUUUUGGCAAUUUGGUUCCGUUUGAGAAAAAUUUCUAUACCGAGUGCCCUUCGGUGCGUGCUAUGACGGAGUCCGAAGUUAAGAUUUACCGAGAGAGGCGUGACAUUACGGUGGAAGGAUACGAUGUACCGAAACCAAUCCGGAGUUUCCAAGAGGCGAAUUUCCCUGCUUACUGCCUUGAUGUGAUUGCGAAAUUGGGAUUUGUCGAGCCUACUCCCAUUCAGGCUCAAGGAUGGCCAAUGGCCAUGAAAGGAAGAGAUUUGAUUGGCAUUGCCGAGACUGGUUCUGGAAAGACUCUGGCCUAUUUACUCCCAGCUUUAAUACACAUUAGUGCCCAGCCUCGUUUAGCGCAUGGUGAAGGCCCCAUAGUAUUGGUGUUAGCUCCCACUAGAGAAUUAGCCGUUCAAAUUCAACAAGAGGCUACUAAAUUUGCUUCACGUGCUAACAUUAGAAGUACUUGCAUUUAUGGUGGGGCUCCAAAGGGGCCUCAAAUUCGUGAUCUGAAAACUGGUGUUGAGAUCGUUAUUGCUACACCGGGGCGACUGAUAGAUAUGCUGGAAGCUGGCCACACCAACCUGCGGAGAGUGACUUACCUUGUUUUGGAUGAAGCUGAUAGAAUGCUGGACAUGGGAUUUGAGCCUCAGAUAAGGACAAUUCUGAGCCAAAUCCGACCUGAUAGGCAGACCUUAUACUGGAGUGCCACAUGGCCAAGGGAGGUUGAGAAAUUAGCGAGACAAUUUUUAAGGAAUGCCUAUAAGGUGAUUAUUGGUUCACCAGAUCUUAAAGCUAACCAGUCUAUAAACCAAGUCGUUGAAGUUGUGACAGAAGCUGAGAAAUAUAGAAGGUUAAUUAAAUUGCUCGUGGAAGUGAUGGAUGGGAGUCGUAUUCUGAUAUUUGUGGAGACAAAAAAAGGAUGUGAUAAAGUAACGAGGCAAUUGAGAAUGGAUGGAUGGCCAGCUCUAUCCAUUCAUGGCGAUAAAAAGCAGGCCGAAAGGGACUUGGUUUUGACUGAAUUUAAAAGUGGAAGAAACCCAAUAAUGACAGCCACUGAUGUGGCUGCCAGAGGUCUUGGUAGGAUUACUACAUGUCGGGUGUUUUAGGUUUUAAUUUAGGUGUUCACUUUCAAAUUCUUAAUGAGUCGGCCAGCUGCUUUCCAGUUCCUGAAUAUAAUUUGUGGCUUGGGUGCAAAGGAGGGUUCUAUUGUGCUGUGAAUGAUGAUUUUGAGACUCCUCAGUUUUGUCUCCUGUACAAUACUGUAUGGCCUUUCUGCUUCUUUGCCCCUUUCCAAACAAUGUGCUCUAGAUUUAGUUUACAUUCUACUUCUUUUAGGCUUCCAUUUUUGCAACCUUUGGGGUGGUGGGGGUAUGGUGAAGGAAGAAAGUUUGAUUGAAAGGAAACAGAGCCACCUCGGUUUUGUACCGGUUGCUAGUACAUUAUAAAUCAUAGCAUGAAUCUCAUAUGGACAUGAAGAUGAUGUGCUUAUUCUGAGGAUGCUGAAUGAUUUUGUCCGAGUUAACUGGGAGGAUUUUUUUUUCUGUUUCUAGACACAAGAAUUGUAAAUCUUAUGCAUCAUUAGGUCAGCAGAGGAUGGAUCAGAAGGCUGGCUUUGAUGAGUUUACGGAAAGAUCACGUCCUUAAGAUGCCUGAAAUAGUAUUUUUUGCUCAACUAGUUAUCCAAGUAUUGUAUCCUUAUUCCGUGCCCAUCCACAAUUAUGGAGCUGGUUGUUUUUGCAGCCUGGUUGACUCAUUCAUUAUUGCAUUGUUGGUAUGGAAGUCGUCGUGGUGACAGCUGCUACUUAUCCCUGCAAAGUUAAGAUGUGAAAGACAUCAAAUGUGUGAUCAACUAUGACUUCCCAUCAAGCCUCGAGGACUACGUCCACAGAAUAGGCCGAACCGGUCGUGCUGGUG